RNAcentral lists this ribosomal RNA (767 nucleotides) under uncultured Alcaligenes sp. RNAcentral's name for it is "bacterial SSU rRNA". It matches the Rfam family "Bacterial small subunit ribosomal RNA", at positions 1 to 766 of the family's 1533-position model. The record is from RNAcentral. Lineage: Bacteria; Pseudomonadati; Pseudomonadota; Betaproteobacteria; Burkholderiales; Alcaligenaceae.
GCGGGAUUCGUUAGUUGAUCCUGGCUCAGAUUGAACGCUAGCGGGAUGCUUACACAUGCAAGUCGAACGGCAGCACGAGAGAGCUUGCUCUCUUGGUGGCGAGUGGCGGACGGGUGAGUAAUAUAUCGGAACUGCCAGUAGCGGGGGAUAACUACUCGAAAGAGUGGCUAAUACCGCAUACGCCCUACGGGGGAAAGGGGGGGAUCGCAAGACCUCUCACUAUUGGAGCGGCCGAUAUCGGAUUAGCUAGUUGGUGGGGAAAGCUCACCAAGGCAACGAUCCGUAGCUGGUUUGAGAGGACGACCAGCCACACUGGGACUGAGACACGGCCCAGACUCCUACGGGAGGCAGCAGUGGGGAAUUUUGGACAAUGGGGGAAACCCUGACCGCCAUCCCGCGUGUAUGAUGAAGGCCUUCGGGUUGUAAAGUACUUUUGGCAGAGAAGAAAAGGCAUCCCCUAAUACGGGAUGCUGCUGACGGUAUCUGCAGAAUAAGCACCGGCUAACUACGUGCACAGCCGCGGUAAUACGUAGGGUGCAAGCGUUAAUCGGAAUUACUGGGCGUAAAGCGUGUGUAGGCGGUUCGGAAAGAAAGAUGUGAAAUCCCAGGGCUCAACCUUGGAACUGCAUUUUUAACUGCCGCUAGAGUAUGUCAGAGGGGGGUAGAAUUCCACGUGUAGCAGUGAAAUGCGUAGAUAUGUGGAGGAAUACCGAUGGCGAAGGCAGCCCCCUGGGAUAAUACUGACGCUCAGACACGAAGGGUUUGCU